Molecule: ribosomal RNA, 453 nt
Filed under: uncultured Methanolinea sp.
Lineage: Archaea; Methanobacteriati; Methanobacteriota; Methanomicrobia; Methanomicrobiales; Methanoregulaceae
Description: bacterial SSU rRNA
Rfam family: Archaeal small subunit ribosomal RNA
Source: RNAcentral
AGGUGGAGCCUGCGGUUUAAUCGGACUCAACGCCGGGAAACUCACCAGAUAAGACAGCUGAAUGAUAGUCGGGCUGAAGACUCUACUUGACUAGCUGAGAGGAGGUGCAUGGCCGUCGUCAGUUCGUACUGUGAAGCAUCCUGUUAAGUCAGGCAACGAGCGAGACCCACGCCAACAGUUGCCAGCAUGUCCUCCGGGAUGAUGGGGACACUGUUGGGACCGCCUCUGCUAAAGAGGAGGAAGGAAUGGGCAACGGUAGGUCAGCAUGCCCCGAAUUAUCCGGGCUACACGCGGGCUACAAUGGUCAGGACAAUGGGUAUCGACACCGAGAGGUGGAGGCAAUCUCCUAAACCUGUCCUUAGUUCGGAUUGUGGGCUGCAACUCGCCCACAUGAAGCUGGAAUCCGUAGUAAUCGCGUUUCAAAAUAGCGCGGUGAAUAUGUCCCUGCUCCUU